This 610-nucleotide ribosomal RNA is filed under the name uncultured bacterium. Its description in RNAcentral is "bacterial SSU rRNA". It matches the Rfam family "Bacterial small subunit ribosomal RNA", at positions 202 to 811 of the family's 1533-position model. The record is from RNAcentral.
GAAAGGCUUCGGCCGGACAGGGAUGGGCAUGCGGCGCAUUAGGCAGUAGGCGGGGUAACGGCCCACCUAACCGACGAUGCGUAGGGGUUCUGAGAGGAAGGUCCCCCACACUGGUACUGAGACACGGACCAGACUCCUACGGGAGGCAGCAGUGAGGAAUAUUGGUCAAUGGUCGGGAGACUGAACCAGCCAAGCCGCGUGAGGGAUGAAGGUACAGAGUAUCGUAAACCUCUUUUGUCAGGGAACAAAGGCGGGGACGUGUCCCCGGAUGAGUGUACCUGAAGAAAAAGCAUCGGCUAACUCCGUGCCAGCAGCCGCGGUAAUACGGAGGAUGCGAGCGUUAUCCGGAUUUAUUGGGUUUAAAGGGUGCGCAGGCGGUCUGUUAAGUCAGCGGUCAAAGCCCGGGGCUCAACCCCGGCCCGCCGUUGAAACUGGCAGUCUCGAGUUGGAGAGAAGUAUGCGGAAUGCGCGGUGUAGCGGUGAAAUGCAUAGAUAUCGCGCAGAACUCCGAUUGCGAAGGCAGCAUGCCGGCUCCACACUGACGCUGAGGCACGAAAGCGUGGGUAUCGAACAGGAUUAGAUACCCUGGUAGUCCACGCAGUAAACGAUG